RNAcentral lists this ribosomal RNA (829 nucleotides) under Collariella robusta. RNAcentral describes it as "LSU rRNA". It matches the Rfam family "Eukaryotic large subunit ribosomal RNA", at positions 76 to 940 of the family's 3401-position model. Lineage: Eukaryota; Fungi; Ascomycota; Sordariomycetes; Sordariales; Chaetomiaceae. The record is from RNAcentral.
UGCCCUAGUAACGGCGAGUGAAGCGGCAACAGCUCAAAUUUGAAAUCUGGCUUCGGCCCGAGUUGUAAUUUGUAGAGGAAGCUUUAGGCGCGGCACCUUCUGAGUCCCCUGGAACGGGGCGCCAUAGAGGGUGAGAGCCCCGUAUAGUUGGAUGCCUAGCCUGUGUAAAGCUCCUUCGACGAGUCGAGUAGUUUGGGAAUGCUGCUCAAAAUGGGAGGUAAAUUUCUUCUAAAGCUAAAUAUUGGCCAGAGACCGAUAGCGCACAAGUAGAGUGAUCGAAAGAUGAAAAGCACUUUGAAAAGAGGGUUAAAUAGCACGUGAAAUUGUUGAAAGGGAAGCGCUUGUGACCAGACUUGCGCCGGGCGGAUCAUCCGGUGUUCUCACCGGUGCACUCCGCCCGGCUCAGGCCAGCAUCGGUUCUCGUGGGGGGAUAAAGGCCCUGGGAACGUAGCUCCUCCGGGAGUGUUAUAGCCCAGGGUGUAAUGCCCUCGCGGGGACCGAGGUUCGCGCAUCUGCAAGGAUGCUGGCGUAAUGGUCAUCAGCGACCCGUCUUGAAACACGGACCAAGGAGUCAAGGUUUUGCGCGAGUGUUUGGGUGUUAAACCCGCACGCGUAAUGAAAGUGAACGUAGGUGAGAGCUUCGGCGCAUCAUCGACCGAUCCUGAUGUAUUCGGAUGGAUUUGAGUAGGAGCGUUAAGCCUUGGACCCGAAAGAUGGUGAACUAUGCUUGGAUAGGGUGAAGCCAGAGGAAACUCUGGUGGAGGCUCGCAGCGGUUCUGACGUGCAAAUCGAUCGUCAAAUCUGAGCAUGGGGCGAAAGACUAAUCGAC